UAGGGAAUCUUCGGCAAUGGGGGGAACCCUGACCGAGCAACGCCGCGUGAGUGAAGAAGGAUUUCGGAUCGUAAAGCUCUGUUGUUAAGGAAGAACGAGUGUGAGAAUGGAAAGUUCAUACUGUGACGGUACUUAACCAGAAAGGGACGGCUAACUACGUGCCAGCAGCCGCGGUAAUACGUAGGUCCCGAGCGUUGUCCGGAUUUAUUGGGCGUAAAGCGAGCGCAGGCGGUUAGAUAAGUCUGAAGUUAAAGGCAGUGGCUCAACCAUUGUAGGCUUUGGAAACUGUUUAACUUGAGUGCAGAAGGGGAGAGUGGAAUUCCAUGUGUAGCGGUGAAAUGCGUAGAUAUAUGGAGGAACAACGGUGGCGAAAGCGGCUCUCUGGUCUGUAACUGACGCUGAGGCUCGAAAGCGUGGGGAGCGAACAGG
Molecule: ribosomal RNA, 429 nt
Filed under: Bacteroidota bacterium
Lineage: Bacteria; Pseudomonadati; Bacteroidota
Description: Bacteroidetes bacterium partial 16S ribosomal RNA
Rfam family: Bacterial small subunit ribosomal RNA
Source: RNAcentral